AUGAAGUGUUGCACAUUUGGACGUGAGCGGGAUGCGGUCUGCGCAGCGUCGAUGUAUUGGAAGUGAUGGGAGCGGCCAAGCAUUAAUGUUGGAAGGCGCGUCCAGCAUGCUGGAGGUAUGUGUGGCUGACCCUGCAGCUGGGGAAAAGUUCUUCAGAGCCCAUACCCGAUGAGAGGACGCGUCUGUGUAUAUGUGCAUAAAUGUGUACGUGUCCUGGCCUGCUGGCGCGGUGUUAAUAGUGAUCAGUCCAGUAUGUGGGCUACAACGCGUGUCAACGCCUCCCUUCCAUUCUUUCUUUGCUUCGCUGAUAAGGUGAUGGUGGGUGGAGCGCCCCUUUUGCCCCCGGGCGCUGGCACAUCGCGUAGGAAGGCGUUGAAUCGUGGGUCUCUUUCAACAGCACCAAAGCAGACUCGACCUUCGCGUUUCGCCACGCCUUGCCAUGGCUGUUCGUAGGAAGCGGUCAGUUGGGGCCGUUAAUGGUGCGUUCAGGA
Molecule: long non-coding RNA, 491 nt
Filed under: Volvox carteri
Lineage: Eukaryota; Viridiplantae; Chlorophyta; Chlorophyceae; Chlamydomonadales; Volvocaceae
Description: long non-coding RNA (VCAR_LNC001381)
Source: RNAcentral